This 1372-nucleotide ribosomal RNA is filed under the name uncultured bacterium. RNAcentral describes it as "bacterial SSU rRNA". It matches the Rfam family "Bacterial small subunit ribosomal RNA", at positions 28 to 1381 of the family's 1533-position model. The record is from RNAcentral.
GAUGAACGCUGGCGGCGUGCCUAAUACAUGCAAGUCGAGCGAACGGACGAGAAGCUUGCUUUUCUGAUGUUAGCGGCGGACGGGUGAGUAACACGUGGAUAACCUACCUAUAAGACUGGGAUAACUUCGGGAAACCGGAGCUAAUACCGGAUAAUAUUUUGAACCGCAUGGUUCAAAAGUGAAAGACGGUCUUGCUGUCACUUAUAGAUGGAUCCGCGCUGCAUUAGCUAGUUGGUAAGGUAACGGCUUACCAAGGCAACGAUGCAUAGCCGACCUGAGAGGGUGAUCGGCCACACUGGAACUGAGACACGGUCCAGACUCCUACGGGAGGCAGCAGUAGGGAAUCUUCCGCAAUGGGCGAAAGCCUGACGGAGCAACGCCGCGUGAGUGAUGAAGGUCUUCGGAUCGUAAAACUCUGUUAUUAGGGAAGAACAUAUGUGUAAGUAACUGUGCACAUCUUGACGGUACCUAAUCAGAAAGCCACGGCUAACUACGUGCCAGCAGCCGCGGUAAUACGUAGGUGGCAAGCGUUAUCCGGAAUUAUUGGGCGUAAAGCGCGCGUAGGCGGUUUUUUAAGUCUGAUGUGAAAGCCCACGGCUCAACCGUGGAGGGUCAUUGGAAACUGGAAAACUUGAGUGCAGAAGAGGAAAGUGGAAUUCCAUGUGUAGCGGUGAAAUGCGCAGAGAUGUGGAGGAACACCAGUGGCGAAGGCGACUUUCUGGUCUGUAACUGACGCUGAUGCGCGAAAGCGUGGGGAUCAAACAGGAUUAGAUACCCUGGUAGUCCACGCCGUAAACGAUGAGUGCUAAGUGUUAGGGGGUUUCCGCCCCUUAGUGCUGCAGCUAACGCAUUAAGCACUCCGCCUGGGGAGUACGACCGCAAGGUUGAAACUCAAAGGAAUUGACGGGGGCCCGCACAAGCGGUGGAGCAUGUGGUUUAAUUCGAAGCAACGCGAAGAACCUUACCAAAUCUUGACAUCCUUUGACAACUCUAGAGAUAGAGCCUUCCCCUUCGGGGGACAAAGUGACAGGUGGUGCAUGGUUGUCGUCAGCUCGUGUCGUGAGAUGUUGGGUUAAGUCCCGCAACGAGCGCAACCCUUAAGCUUAGUUGCCAUCAUUAAGUUGGGCACUCUAAGUUGACUGCCGGUGACAAACCGGAGGAAGGUGGGGAUGACGUCAAAUCAUCAUGCCCCUUAUGAUUUGGGCUACACACGUGCUACAAUGGACAAUACAAAGGGCAGCGAAACCGCGAGGUCAAGCAAAUCCCAUAAAGUUGUUCUCAGUUCGGAUUGUAGUCUGCAACUCGACUACAUGAAGCUGGAAUCGCUAGUAAUCGUAGAUCAGCAUGCUACGGUGAAUACGUUCCCGGGUCU